This 501-nucleotide ribosomal RNA is filed under the name uncultured bacterium. RNAcentral's name for it is "bacterial SSU rRNA". It matches the Rfam family "Bacterial small subunit ribosomal RNA", at positions 20 to 518 of the family's 1533-position model. The record is from RNAcentral.
UGGCUCAGGACGAACGCUGGCGGCGUGCCUAACACAUGCAAGUCGAACGGAGUUAUUGUUCAGAUCCCUUCGGGGUGACGAACUUUAACUUAGUGGCGGACGGGUGAGUAACGCGUGAGUAACCUGCCUCUGAGAGGGGAAUAACGUUCUGAAAAGAUCGCUAAUACCGCAUAACAUAUCGAAGUCGCAUGGCUUUGAUAUCAAAGAUUUUAUCGCUCGGAGAUGGACUCGCGUCCGAUUAGCUUGUUGGCGGGUAACGGCCCACCAAGGCGACGAUCGGUAGCCGGACUGAGAGGUUGAUCGGCCACAUUGGGACUGAGACACGGCCCAGACUCCUACGGGAGGCAGCAGUGGGGGAUAUUGCGCAAUGGGGGCAAACCCCCUGACGCAGCAACGCCGCGUGAAGGAAGACGGUUUUCGGAUUGUAAACUUCUUUUGUCAGGGACGAAUUCUGACGGUACCUGACGAAUAAGCUCCGGCUAACUACGUGCCAGCCGCGGC